GACCGAAUGGCGUAGUGGUUAGUGACCUUGACUACUGAGCCGAUGGUCCCGGGUUCGAAUCCCGGCUGGGGCA
Molecule: transfer RNA, 73 nt
Filed under: Plutella xylostella (diamondback moth)
Lineage: Eukaryota; Metazoa; Arthropoda; Insecta; Lepidoptera; Plutellidae
Description: tRNA-Ser
Source: RNAcentral